Molecule: long non-coding RNA, 615 nt
Filed under: Rattus norvegicus (Norway rat)
Lineage: Eukaryota; Metazoa; Chordata; Mammalia; Rodentia; Muridae
Description: long non-coding RNA NONRATT031974
Source: RNAcentral
AUGGUACAUGUUUUCCUUGGCCAGAAUUGGAAGUCAAUUAAAGUGGACUUUAGAUCAAGAAACAGAGUCACUGCAGCUCAAGGCACCAAGAAUGGGAACAAACUUCCAGUCCACCAGAUGCAUCAUGGUGGUACUCUUGGGCGCAGCAUGAGAAACCCCAGAAACAGCGUGUAUGGCCGAUGGGCUCGUGUCCCUGGAAAGUGGACAGGGUGGUGGCAAAGGCGGACCCAGUGCUUCUUGCAGGCAAAGCCGUCUCUCAAGGAAUCUGAUGAGUAAGUAGUGCCCUAACUGCAUUCUCCUUCUAGUUAUCUGUUAAUAUUUUCAGAACACCAGCCUCUCGUCAAAUGGUGAAUUCUUUCAUUCUAAGGUGCCAAGGCACAGAUCAGGGAGAUGCUUAGGCGAGAUUCUUUCAAAGUCUGUUUUAUUUUCUGAAUGGCUUAAGUGUGAUUAAGAGGAUGUUAAGAUGGGAUUUUCAUAAACUUUAUAAUAUUUUUGGUGGUUGGGAAAUGAGAAGAUGCUUUGCACAUUUGGGGUUCUUUUGAAAAUUACCCAAAGAUAAGGAUGACCUUCUGUAUGGAGUGGGUGGGGUGUGGUCCUAUAUGUGUCAAGUUUUCA